Molecule: ribosomal RNA, 305 nt
Filed under: uncultured bacterium
Lineage: Bacteria
Description: bacterial SSU rRNA
Rfam family: Bacterial small subunit ribosomal RNA
Source: RNAcentral
GCCUACGGGGCGCAGCAGUGGGGGAUAUUGCACAAUGGGGGGAACCCUGAUGCAGCGACGCCGCGUGGGUGAAGAAGCGCCCCGGCGCGUAAAGCCCUGUCAGCAGGGAAGAAGGAGGACGGUACCUGACCAAGAAGCCCCGGCUAACUACGUGCCAGCAGCCGCGGUAAUACGUAGGGGGCAAGCGUUAUCCGGAUUUACUGGGUGUAAAGGGGGCGCAGACGGCGAUGCAAGCCAGGAGUGAAAGCCCGGGGCCCAACCCCGGGACUGCUCUUGGAACUGCGUGGCUGGAGUGCAGGAGGGGC